Molecule: transfer RNA, 71 nt
Filed under: Malus domestica (apple)
Lineage: Eukaryota; Viridiplantae; Streptophyta; Magnoliopsida; Rosales; Rosaceae
Description: tRNA MD06G0037400
Rfam family: tRNA
About the family: Transfer RNA (tRNA) molecules are approximately 80 nucleotides in length.
Source: RNAcentral
GCAGAUGUAGUCAAAUGAUAAAAUUUCUCUUUGCCUAGGAGAAGACAAAAGUUCGAUUCUCGCCAUCUGCC